UACGUAGGGGGCAAGCGUUGUCCGGAUUUAUUGGGCGUAAAGAGCGUGUAGGCGGCCAGGUAGGUCCGUUGUGAAAACUCGAGGCUCAACCUCGAGACGCCGAUGGAAACCAUCUGGCUAGAGUCCGGAAGAGGAGAGUGGAAUUCCUGGUGUAGCGGUGAAAUGCGCAGAUAUCAGGAAGAACACCCGUGGCUAAGGCGGCUCUCUAGUACGGUACUGACGCUGAGACGCGAAAGCGUGGGGAGCGAACAGG
Molecule: ribosomal RNA, 253 nt
Filed under: uncultured bacterium
Lineage: Bacteria
Description: partial 16S ribosomal RNA
Rfam family: Bacterial small subunit ribosomal RNA
Source: RNAcentral